AUUGAACGCUGGCGGCAGGCCUAACACAUGCAAGUCGAACGGUAACAGGAAGCAGCUUGCUGCUUUGCUGACGAGUGGCGGACGGGUGAGUAAUGUCUGGGAAACUGCCUGAUGGAGGGGGAUAACUACUGGAAACGGUAGCUAAUACCGCAUAACGUCGCAAGACCAAAGAGGGGGACCUUAGGGCCUCUUGCCAUCGGAUGUGCCCAGAUGGGAUUAGCUAGUAGGUGGGGUAACGGCUCACCUAGGCGACGAUCCCUAGCUGGUCUGAGAGGAUGACCAGCCACACUGGAACUGAGACACGGUCCAGACUCCUACGGGAGGCAGCAGUGGGGAAUAUUGCACAAUGGGCGCAAGCCUGAUGCAGCCAUGCCGCGUGUAUGAAGAAGGCCUUCGGGUUGUAAAGUACUUUCGGCGGGGAGGAAGGGAGUAAAGUUAAUACCUUGGCUCAUUGACGUUACCCGCAGAAGAAGCACCGGCUAACUCCGUG
RNAcentral lists this ribosomal RNA (490 nucleotides) under uncultured bacterium. Its description in RNAcentral is "partial 16S ribosomal RNA". It matches the Rfam family "Bacterial small subunit ribosomal RNA", at positions 30 to 507 of the family's 1533-position model. The record is from RNAcentral.